Molecule: ribosomal RNA, 303 nt
Filed under: uncultured bacterium
Lineage: Bacteria
Description: partial 16S ribosomal RNA
Rfam family: Bacterial small subunit ribosomal RNA
Source: RNAcentral
AGCAGCCGCCGCGGUAAUACGUAGGCGGCAAGCGUUGUCCGGAAUUAUUGGGCGUAAAGGGCUCGCAGGCGGUUUCUUAAGUCUGAUGUGAAAGCCCCCGGCUCAACCGGGGAGGGUCAUUGGAAACUGGGAAACUUGAGUGCAGAAGAGGAGAGUGGAAUUCCACGUGUAGCGGUGAAAUGCGUAGAGAUGUGGAGGAACAUCAGUGGCGAAGGCGACUCUCUGGUCUGUAACUGACGCUGAGGAGCGAAAGCGUGGGGAGCGAACAGGAUUAGAUACCCCUGUAGUCCCUGUCUCUUAUAC